AUACUUACCUGGCAGGAGCACCAUGAUCAGGAAGGUGGUUUCACCCAGGGCGAGGCUCUGCCAUUGCACUGAGCAGUACUGACCCUUGCGAAUUCCCCAAAUGUGGGAAUCGACUGCAUAAUUUCUGUUAGUGGGGGACUGCGUACGCUCUCUCCCCAU
RNAcentral lists this small nuclear RNA (159 nucleotides) under Takifugu rubripes (torafugu). RNAcentral's name for it is "U1 spliceosomal RNA (ENSTRUG00000032556.1)". It matches the Rfam family "U1 spliceosomal RNA". Rfam says of the family: U1 is a small nuclear RNA (snRNA) component of the spliceosome (involved in pre-mRNA splicing). Its 5' end forms complementary base pairs with the 5' splice junction, thus defining the 5' donor site of an intron. Lineage: Eukaryota; Metazoa; Chordata; Actinopteri; Tetraodontiformes; Tetraodontidae. The record is from Rfam by way of RNAcentral.